Molecule: ribosomal RNA, 20 nt
Filed under: Serjania paniculata
Lineage: Eukaryota; Viridiplantae; Streptophyta; Magnoliopsida; Sapindales; Sapindaceae
Description: partial 26S ribosomal RNA
Source: RNAcentral
UCGCAAAUCGACCGCGACCC